AUGGACACUGACAAAAACAGGAUUUAUAUUGUAAAGUCUUUUUAUAGACACUUAAUACAAAAUGGUAUCAAAUACCCACACUUAUAUAAGUGGAAAAUUAAAAUGCCACCCAGAGUUAAGAUCUUUAUGUGGCUAGCUCUUAGGAACAUCAUUCUCAAAAAAGAUAAUUUGCUUCAUAGAGGAUGGAAAGGAGAUGAGAAAUGCCCAUUCUGUGGGCGUGAGGAAAGUAUAAAUCAUCUAUUUAUAUCAUGUUCAGUAGCUAGGCUGCUGUGGAAUAUUCUAAAAUCUGCUUUCAACUUAACUGAUAUACAGAUGAUUUGGAUCUGGGGAUGA
Molecule: ribosomal RNA, 333 nt
Filed under: Triticum aestivum (bread wheat)
Lineage: Eukaryota; Viridiplantae; Streptophyta; Magnoliopsida; Poales; Poaceae
Description: partial small subunit ribosomal RNA
Source: RNAcentral